UCAAAUAACGACAUUAUUAUGCUUAGCAAGACAAAUCCUUCCAUGGUCAAUUCACCAUAUGCCAGAGAAAUAGUUGGCCUUUAAUUAGAUUACAAGAACAAUGUAGAUGCUUAUUGAUCAAAAAAGAUGUAUUGUAAAAACCGAAUUACAUAAGCACACGACGUGUGAAACAUGGUCUGGAUGAUAUGUUCAGGACCUGCUACAUGUAUGCCUUGGAAUGAUACGUUGAGGACCUGCUACAGAUUUACGGUCCAGAUGCUAUCAGAAGUGCACAGAGUUCUCCUUCAAUCAAGGGUUCGUAUCUAUUACUUGACUGUCCGUAGACUUCUGACAGCUGCAAGAGAGCCACAUUUUAAUGCACUAUAAAUCAAGCAUGGAAUCUAAGAGAUAUUAUUUUAUAAUAAGAGAAAAAGUCCAACGUGGAAGCAAUUUAUUCUGCAGAAAAUUCACAAGUGGAUUCUUCUAUCUAACGAAUUACAACUGAACACCUUGUUCAUAUUUGCAAGCAAACCAUCUAAACACCUUGUUUAUAUUUCAACGGAAGCACAAACCAGAGUAGCAUCGUUACCUCUGCAAAAUAUUUAGCUAGCCCAAGCAUGAAUUUUACAGGAUAACACACUUUCAACUUUACAUAGCCUGUUAGCUCUGAAAAAUAUUUGUAUAUUGCAAUCAAAUUUAGACGAGAACACACCCGGUUUAGCUAUGACCAAAACAGCUAACUCGCCACGAAUCAAGAUCAACCACACUAUUUGUUGGGCAUAAGUUACCUGCACAUCCGAGAGGUAUUGGGCCAGGGAAAUUGUUCAAAAAACUGUAGCAUGCAGCGCGUACUAGAGCAUCCAACCGUGGCUGGCAGAGAGCAUGAAGGGGUAAUGGUCAAACCAGCGACGCAGAACACCAUUAGCAGAGUUGAUGUGACCACCAUGCAAACCAAGCACCACGUCGUCGAGCCUACCUGCUCUAAGGAAAGUUAAAAACACUUAACCCCGUCACCAAGGCCACACGCUCACCGUAUGCAUUCGCCCCCAAAGGCGCCCACUGUCGCCAGCCAGAGAGGUCACCCGUCACUAGGGCCUCUUGCUGAACACACUGAAAAAAAUCGCAUCAUGCUUUUUUGCUCUGAAUGUCAACUUCAGAAUUGUGACUUUCAUCUUACAUUAUUAAAUUCAAUGACAGAUUCAUCUUCUUGGCUCUAAUGCACACUAGUUCAUAAUGAAUCCAUAGAGUCAGGACACUUGGAAUUACCCUUGACCCUUGGCAAAUUUUAUUUACUAUACUACCAAGUAGCCAGGCACAAAUAAGGAUUCUACCCGUCAGGCUCAUGCAUAAAUCUUUUCAGAAUCAAUAGUGAAUGAAAUUCAGAACCUGCGCCUUCAUUUAUCCAAGAUUCCUCACAAAAUAUACGACUGUUACAGCUUCAAUUCCCAAUUGGGCAUUAACACAAACACCCCAUGGGCACUCAGAAUGAGAUCCAAAGAUGGAUUACUAAGGUUCACACAAGCCUUGAAAUUAUGGAAACAAUCAGAUCAAAAACAUGAUGGUUACCUGCUAGGAGGAAGGGGCUAGCAACAGAACAUGUGAUGUAGUGUGAGAGGAGGAGAUCACAGCCGCAUGAAGAACAAGGGCAGCGUGCUCACUAUGUCCAUGCGUGUGCAAAAAAAUAGGGAAGCGCACAAACCUUACAUCCGGAGGCCGUGAUGGAUGCUUGUCCUUGUACAGUCUUGGCAACCGUGCUCCAGCCUCGAGCCAGAGCUGCCGCGACAACCACCCGUCGGCCGCCGCGCUGCCGGACAACGCGGCCACACGCCUGAUCACGACGUCGCUGACGUCAUUGACUUUCCCGCAGAACUAACCCGCUGAGCACCAUGCCGUCGUCCAGCAAACCAGCC
RNAcentral lists this long non-coding RNA (1889 nucleotides) under Triticum aestivum (bread wheat). RNAcentral describes it as "long non-coding RNA (TAES_LNC010735)". The record is from RNAcentral. Lineage: Eukaryota; Viridiplantae; Streptophyta; Magnoliopsida; Poales; Poaceae.